This 78-nucleotide transfer RNA is filed under the name bacterium. RNAcentral's name for it is "tRNA-Pro". It matches the Rfam family "tRNA". Rfam says of the family: Transfer RNA (tRNA) molecules are approximately 80 nucleotides in length. Their secondary structure includes four short double-helical elements and three loops (D, anti-codon, and T loops). Further hydrogen bonds mediate the characteristic L-shaped molecular structure. tRNAs have two regions of fundamental functional importance: the anti-codon, which is responsible for specific mRNA codon recognition, and the 3' end, to which the tRNAs corresponding amino acid is attached (by aminoacyl-tRNA synthetases). tRNAs cope with the degeneracy of the genetic code in two manners: having more than one tRNA (with a specific anti-codon) for a particular amino acid; and 'wobble' base-pairing, i.e. permitting non-standard base-pairing at the 3rd anti-codon position. The record is from RNAcentral. RNAcentral also lists the same sequence under 1 other name.
CGGGGCGUAGCGCAGCCCGGUUAGCGCGCCUGCUUCGGGAGCAGGAGGUCGAGAGUUCAAAUCUCUCCGCCCCGACCA